ACGGAAGGCAGCAGUGAGGAAUAUUGGUCAAUGGGCGAGAGCCUGAACCAGCCAUGUCGCGUGGAGGAAUAAGGAUCUAUGGUUCGUAAACUCCUUUUGCGGGGGGAUAAAGUGCGGGACGCGUCCCGUUUUGUAGGUACCCCGCGAAUAAGCAUCGGCUAACUCCGUGCCAGCAGCCGCGGUAAUACGGAGGAUGCGAGCGUUAUCCGGAUUUAUUGGGUUUAAAGGGUGCGCAGGCGGAUCGGUAAGUCAGGGGUGAAAAGUUGGGGCUCAACUCCAAUCGUGCCUUUGAUACUGCCGGACUAGAGUGCGAUAGACGUGGCCGGAAUGUGAUGUGUAGCGGUGAAAUGCUUAGAUAUGUCACAGAACACCGAUCGAGAAGUCAGGUCACGAGCUCGCAACUGACGCUCAGGCACGAAAGCGUGGGGAUCAAACAGGAUUAGAUACCCUGGUA
RNAcentral lists this ribosomal RNA (454 nucleotides) under uncultured Porphyromonadaceae bacterium. RNAcentral describes it as "partial 16S ribosomal RNA". It matches the Rfam family "Bacterial small subunit ribosomal RNA", at positions 341 to 792 of the family's 1533-position model. The record is from RNAcentral. Lineage: Bacteria; Pseudomonadati; Bacteroidota; Bacteroidia; Bacteroidales; Porphyromonadaceae.